Molecule: ribosomal RNA, 253 nt
Filed under: uncultured bacterium
Lineage: Bacteria
Description: partial 16S ribosomal RNA
Rfam family: Bacterial small subunit ribosomal RNA
Source: RNAcentral
GACGGGGGAUGCAAGCGUUAUCCGGAAUCACUGGGCGUAAAGCGUCUGUAGGUGGUGAUGCAAGUCACUGGUGCAAAACUCUGGCUCAACCGGAGGAAAGCCAGUGAAACUGCAUGACUAGAGAGUGGGAGAGGUAGAAGGAAUUCCCUGAGUAGCGGUGAAAUGCGUAGAGACAGGGAAGAACACCGGAGGCGAAAGCGUUCUACUGGAACACAACUGACAAUAAGAGACGAAAGCUAGGGGAACGAAUGGG